CCAAAAAAAAAAGUAUAACA
This 20-nucleotide microRNA is filed under the name Corchorus capsularis. RNAcentral's name for it is "sRNA CCACVL1_24071". Lineage: Eukaryota; Viridiplantae; Streptophyta; Magnoliopsida; Malvales; Malvaceae. The record is from RNAcentral.